GCCGAAGUGGCGGAACGGCAGACGCGCUGCGUUCAGGGCGCAGUACUCCUUGCGAGUGUCAGGGUUCAAAUCCCUGCUUCGGCA
Molecule: transfer RNA, 84 nt
Filed under: Acidobacteriota bacterium
Lineage: Bacteria; Pseudomonadati; Acidobacteriota
Also listed under: 2 other names
Description: tRNA-Leu
Rfam family: tRNA
About the family: Transfer RNA (tRNA) molecules are approximately 80 nucleotides in length. Their secondary structure includes four short double-helical elements and three loops (D, anti-codon, and T loops).
Source: RNAcentral